RNAcentral lists this ribosomal RNA (400 nucleotides) under uncultured bacterium. RNAcentral describes it as "bacterial SSU rRNA". It matches the Rfam family "Bacterial small subunit ribosomal RNA", at positions 355 to 772 of the family's 1533-position model. The record is from RNAcentral.
UGGGGAAUAUUGGACAAUGGGGGGAACCCUGAUCCAGCAAUGCCGCGUGAGUGAUGAAGGCCUUAGGGUUGUAAAGCUCUUUCGCACGCGACGAUGAUGACGGUAGCGUGAGAAGAAGCCCCGGCUAACUUCGUGCCAGCAGCCGCGGUAAUACGAAGGGGGCUAGCGUUGUUCGGAAUUACUGGGCGUAAAGGGCGCGUAGGCGGUUUGAUAAGUCAGGCGUGAAAGCCCCGGGCUCAACCUGGGAACUGCGUUUGAUACUGUUGAGCUAGAGUUCCGGAGAGGAUGGUGGAAUUCCCAGUGUAGAGGUGAAAUUCGUAGAUAUUGGGAAGAACACCGGUGGCGAAGGCGGCCAUCUGGACGGACACUGACGCUGAGGCGCGAAAGCGUGGGGAGCAAA